RNAcentral lists this long non-coding RNA (282 nucleotides) under Homo sapiens (human). RNAcentral describes it as "LNC_000411". Lineage: Eukaryota; Metazoa; Chordata; Mammalia; Primates; Hominidae. The record is from RNAcentral.
CUUUUCCAUUUCAUUCCAUUCCAUUCCCUUCCAAUCCGUUCCAUUCCAUUCCUUCCAUUGCUUUCGGGUCCAUUCAAUUCAACUGUAUUCCAUUCGAGUCCAUUCCAUUACAUUUUAUUCCAUUCCAUUCCAUUCCAUUCCAGCACAUUUCAUUCCAUUACAUUCCUUUCGAGUCCAAUCCAUUCCAUUCCAUUCCUAUCGAGUCCAUUCAAUUCCAUUCCAUACCAUUCGAGUCCAUUCCAUUCCACUCCAUUCCAUUCCAUCCCAUUCCAUUCCAUUCGC